CCCUUUUGAAAGGCACUCAUUGGGCCUUUCGCUAAUGACCCACUGAACCGUCAAGAAAAAGAGCAAAGUAAAAAUACCGAUUUGGGUGAAGUGGCAGCAUGUUCUGUAGUUUUGCUUCGGUCAGUGGUGUGACAAGG
Small nucleolar RNA from Phyllostomus discolor (pale spear-nosed bat), 137 nucleotides. The record is from RefSeq and is a predicted model, not a curated record. Lineage: Eukaryota; Metazoa; Chordata; Mammalia; Chiroptera; Phyllostomidae.